GAACGUAGUUCAAUGGCAAAACACUAGCUUCCCAAGCUGGAUUUGCGGGUUCGAUUCCCGUCGUUC
RNAcentral lists this transfer RNA (66 nucleotides) under chicken gut metagenome. It matches the Rfam family "tRNA". From Rfam's summary of the family: Transfer RNA (tRNA) molecules are approximately 80 nucleotides in length. The record is from RNAcentral.